UUAAAAUAGAAAAUUUCCAUAGAUUCUUUUAAAAAAGCUCAGAUAUCAGAGUAUUCUCUUUAAUGAAUUUAAAUAACUUUAAAUUGCUGAUAGUGUUAGUAAAAAAAAAAAAGAUUGCUAACAAAGGAUUAAUAUUUUUAUUUAUUUUUUCUUUUUUUUUAAUAAUUUAAAUGAGGAUUUUGAAUAAAUAGCAUGAAACAAGCAUCACUUCUAACGUGAAUGUAAAUUGAAGUGCUUGCACGGGAAAUGAGCACUAUUCAAGAGACUAGUUUGCAUUACAGAAGUGCACUUCUCUUUACAACAGAUAAAUAGAAUGGCUGCCUGAGGUUCGUGAAUAAUCAAAGGACGUCUUAGAAGCAAGUUGUGUACGUAGAUGAUUCAGAAAUUGAAAUAGGAGUCUCGUUAGAGCCGUUGUUAAAGUAAUUUUGGAUGGAAUGGGUAAGUGAAUCGUCGACUUGAUUGCAGCAAUUGAAAAUGUGUGUAUCUACUUGAAAUCUCUUAUUUGUUUGGUAAAAAAAAAAUUUAUAAAUAUUAUGAGUAAAUAUUAUUGAAAUUUAUAAAAAGAAUAUCAAGUGUCAAUUAAACAAGAUUAGAUAUAAUCUUUCAUAUUGAUAUAAAAUCACAAUUUAUUUGUUAUCUUUUAUGUUAUAAAAAAUUUCAUGAUAAAAUUGAGAUCUUUUGCUCUAGAAUUUAUAUUAAAAAAAGAAAGAUAACACAAAACGGAUAUAAUCUGGGACUUUUGCAUCAUACAUUUAACCAUGUUCAUAUAAGGAUUAUUUUAUGUUCUUACCCGCAUCUUUCGUUAAUUUAUUAAACGACAAACACAUUAAUAACGAUGCAAAAACAAAAUCCAGACAUUUACCAAGGGAUGAUUCGUUUACUAAGGAUAGAAUAUAGUAUAUUGCGUUUCCUUGAGUGUGAUCAUUUUGUUGAAUCGAUGUAAAUCUUAGCUCUUUCUACAAAGUGGAUUAUUAAUUCGUCUCAUAGGCGUUCAAUUAGCCCGCGGGUCCGGCGUGAAAUGAAUUAUUCGUCGACGCAUGCGCGUUCUCGGCAUGUUUUACCGCGCAACGGAAAUUUACUGCUGUCGCCUCGUAUAAAUAGUAGACAUGGCCACCAUGAAAUUUACGAACGACCAACAGAUUGUCUCGUAAAAUUUCUACGUCGCUGUCUCUUCUUUUCGUUUUGGAAAUUGUUCAUUUUCAUAGUGAAACAAUAAGACCCGGAAGUGAAGAACUCGUAUCCUCGUGAUGGAAAUCUGUGCGGAGAAUUUUGUGGUUAUGGUGGUUAGAUGCACUUUUCGUGAUUGAGGAUUAAUGUGGGUUCUUUUAGAAAAUUAUGCAAUUUUCUUCUUUUCUCCGCAAAUUAUAAUUUACUAUGAAGAUAUUUUCUAAUUUUUUUUGCGUGAGACGAAGUGAUUUUUUUCAUAUCAAUAACAUGUUAGUCACAAGAUCUCUCCACGUUAUCUUCCCUUUUGCACGAGCGUGUUUUCCAUUAAAACGAAUCGACUCUCGCGACUAUCCCUGCAAUCUUUCAACAGCGUUUCAUCUUCUCCUGCGUGUGGACCGAUCUUUCGAAGACAUUCCAUGCUCAUGGUGGACCCGGGCUGCAAACGCGUUCCUAUGAAUUAUUGCACCAUUAACGGAGAGAUGGAAUCGAGAGAUAAAUUUCUUGCCUUCUAAAAGAAAGAGAUUGCAAAUUUUUACCUUUUGAAGAUGUGAUCAUUUAACGGUGAUAGAAGAAAUACUUAUGAAACGCUGUGUGAUAUAUAAAAAUCCAAGUUCAGGAUUACACGUAUGACAAUGCAUGUAUGAAGAAAGUUGAACUGUAAAAUAUUAAACAAAAAUAUAACAUUGGAAACUAAAUCAAAUGAUAUAUAGCGACAUAAAAUUCCUGCAUCCCAUAAAUCUUCGACAUGUUGCGAAAAUCAGCAGAAAGUUGAGUUGUCUUCUUUAAUUUCAAUAACAAGAUUUGGAAAAAGAAGAGAACAGGAAAAAAACAAAAGCCAGUUUUGCGGAGUAAUUAGGAACCUACGAGCAAUAGUGCUAAUCAAGCGAAAGGGCAGAGAAAGAAAUAAGUCUGAGGAGAUGGAAGCUGAAGAAGGGUCCGGUUUAAGUGACAGAAAGGCUGGUCCGAAGUGGCACGAAGGUACACGCGAGGUGGUAGCCUCGGGUGACAAGUUAAAAAGGGAGGGACGAGGUGGCGGCGCGAGCCAGCCUUCUCUUCUCUCGGAUCAUGCUAAUGAAAUUCUCAAGAUAUCUAUCUUGCGCGCCACUGUGCACAAGGCAUUAGUUUAGCGUCUCGCUCGCGGCCACCUCGAUCUUAUCUGUCCGCCUUCAGACGCACGGUAUCAAUUUCCCUGGAACGUGAAACAUACGGGCCAUGGUAGUUCGUCAACCGAUUCCGGUUGUUUAACGAUCCUUGCCUAUCUGUGUACUGCUGUUCACAGUUUGGAUUCUGUGGAAAUUAAGAGGAAAGAAGAGAUGACUUUAUACAGAAUGAUGUUUUCUUAAGGAUUGGAUUGACAUUGGAGGAGAGGGAAUUGAUUUGAAGUGGAAAGGAGAGAGAUGGAUUGUUUAAAUAAGAAAAUAGAAAGUUGGAAAUAGGUGAGAAUGACGCUAAAAAUUAUGAUUAAAAAGAAAUAAAAAAAUAGAAGAGUGGAAAGAAUUGAGAGAACAAUUUUCCCAAGUUAUUUGUAAUCAUUCUUAUUUAAAGAUUGCAAUUAGACGGUUUUAGAAUUAUCAGUAUUCAAUAUUUACAAUUCGCGCAAUUUUAUUGCCAUUUAAUAAAUUAAAUAGUAUAAAGAUCGAUAGUAAGUAUUUCUAAUCCUUGCUUUUGGCCUGAGAUUACAAGAAGCCACAUUAAUCGUCUUCUUGUACGAAAAGAAUUGCCUUGCUCAUUCAUCACCAUAUAUCCUCCAGUCGAUGAUCUUUGAAUCAACGUGCCGCGGUAUUCCCACAAUAACGAAGCUGAAGAUGCAGAAAAUGGAAUCGGCGAGUCACGGCGUAAAGAUGAAUAUGAAGACGUUGCCACUAACUUAUGCACUUCCCAUGCCAUUGAGAUCCUUUGAUGCCGCCGAAUCGUUCAAGGAAUAUGACAUUAAGGUCAGCGACUCGCUCACCGGUGCUGGGGCCAAAUUGCAACUUGCUGCAACCCUGGUGUCUUCCAUCCCGCUCGUGAACAAAGAAGACCGCUCGAAGAGGAAAAGAAAUAGGACGGAAUCGGAUGGAAGGAGCGUGAGAAUGAAGCCUCCCCACCGGCUCAAGCCCCCCCGAACCUAUGAUUGAUUUAAAGAUUGAACGUCACACAAUCCAAGAUCAAAAUAUAUAUGGAAAUUCUUCUUGCGGAAGAUCAUCCUUCAAGACGAUUGAACAUCACGCAAUCCAAGAUCAAAAUGUAUAUAUGGAAAGUUCUUCUUACGGAAGAUCAUCCUUCAACAUGCUUGGAGGGGGAGGGGACGAAGGAUGGGACUUUUUACGAGGGCCAUAUCGCAAAACCGAAACCGCCAGGGUUACUUAGGCAAAAAGCGACUCGAGGAGAGCGGCGUGAACCACUUUUCUCGUGGGAAUGAUAGGAAUACAAGGGACCCAUGGAACGAGCGCAGGCCGUUUAACCAAAAUUACGUUUUAUAUGCAGAAGCGGAUCAUUGCGCGCGAGACGGUCCAUGCGUAACGGCCGGUUGGUGCAACGGUGCAUUUCCUUUUACUACUGUGGCCAGACAACAUGCACCGUAAAACCCGAGGGGCCAGCUUUAACAACUACAACUGUAGAAAUCGUGGCGUGUUUGUUCCAGAGACAAUGCAUCCCUUCGAGUUCUAACGUCAACAUUACUCUUCUUUUAAACUUGAAGCGUCUAUUCUUAUUUCUUUUUUUUAAUAUUUUUAAAAGACACAUUUAAAGCAAUACUCGAAACUUGCGCGUAUUUCCCUUACCUUUUAUUCAGGCGCAGUUAGAAAGUUUAUGUAAAUUUUGGGAACCUGUAAUAGAUUUAAAAUCCAAUCCAAUAAUCGUUUCUCGAUUAUUUUACGAUUAUGAUUAUACGUACGUGAAGUGAAUGUAUCGAUAUAUUGAGUGGAUGUUUCGUUAGAAAUGAUCGUUUCCAAUAAGAGAGAAUAAAAAUGCUAAUGCAAUUUGAUUGAGAAAUAGGGAAUCGUGUUGAUUGGUGCUGGUGAAAGGGAAAUGUUUCAAAAUCUUGAAAAUCAAACGAUUCUCUGUCUUGUGAUUUACUAAAGAUGGAUCAAGGAAAGAUGAAUAUUUUAUUAAAAAAGAGAAGAAAGAGAGAAAAGGAAGGAAGGAAGAAAAUAAUAAUCCUCCGCUUCGAAUUUUACGAGCUCGGAUAUUUGUCCAAUGUUCGGCAGAGUUGCAAAAAAAAAAAAAAUAAAAAAAAAA
RNAcentral lists this long non-coding RNA (4386 nucleotides) under Apis mellifera (honey bee). RNAcentral's name for it is "uncharacterized LOC100576234, transcript variant X2". The record is from RNAcentral. Lineage: Eukaryota; Metazoa; Arthropoda; Insecta; Hymenoptera; Apidae.